RNAcentral lists this ribosomal RNA (526 nucleotides) under uncultured bacterium. Its description in RNAcentral is "bacterial SSU rRNA". It matches the Rfam family "Bacterial small subunit ribosomal RNA", at positions 355 to 895 of the family's 1533-position model. The record is from RNAcentral.
UGGGGAAUCUUGGACAAUGGGGGCAACCCUGAUCCAGCCAUGCCGCGUGAGUGAUGAAGGCCUUAGGGUCGUAAAGCUCUUUCGCCUGUGAAGAUAAUGACGGUAGCAGGUAAAGAAACCCCGGCUAACUCCGUGCCAGCAGCCGCGGUAAUACGGAGGGGGUUAGCGUUGUUCGGAAUUACUGGGCGUAAAGCGCACGUAGGCGGACCAGAAAGUUGGGGGGUGAAAUCCCGGGGGCUCAACCCCGGAACUGCCUCCAAAACUAUUGGUCUAGAGUUCGAGAGAGGUGAGUGGAAUUCCAAGUGUAGAGGUGAAAUUCGUAGAUAUUUGGAGGAACACCAGUGGCGAAGGCGGCUCACUGGCUCGAUACUGACGCUGAGGUGCGAAAGUGUGGGGAGCAAAACAGGAUUAGAUACCCUGGUAGUCCACACCGUAAAACGAUGAAUGCCAGUCGUCGGGUAGCAUGCUAUUCGGUGACACACCUAACGGAUUAAGCAUUCCGCCUGGGGAGUACGGUCGCAAGAUU